GUGAUCGGGGUUCUCUUGCUUGGAUGUAGUUGAUGAUUUCUCUGUUGAAUUACAGGUUGUCUGCAGCCUGGUCCUUCUGAUGCUCUCUGUAUAUAGCACUAUGCCUCAUACAGAAAUAUCCAAUUGGAUCUUUAACACAAAAUAGCAGAUGAAAUUCUGAUUUUUCAACACAAAUGAUGGGCCUUACAAGAUAUUCUCGAGA
Molecule: unclassified non-coding RNA, 202 nt
Filed under: Hevea brasiliensis (rubber tree)
Lineage: Eukaryota; Viridiplantae; Streptophyta; Magnoliopsida; Malpighiales; Euphorbiaceae
Source: RNAcentral